UGGAUUUAAAAUAAAGACUAUAUUACUGAUAGUCCGACUGCAGCCACCUGAAGUACCUGAUUUUUUUCUAAAGCAUAUACAAUUUUAAAUUCGCUUUAGAGGUGACUAAGUAUAUAAAAAAUUAAUUAACAGCUAAAAAGGCAAAGCUAAGUUUCUUUAUUAAACUAUUUCAUGGUUAUUAUUAACUCCAGCAAAGACAGCAGGGCUAACUGAUAUACAAAACAAGCAAGUCUACCGAAGUAAAGGCUAAGAAAAAAAAAAGGAUGCGCCUUUACUAAUUUUUCUUUAAUCCUAAUCAUAAGUUCGAUUCUCGCCUGUGCACAGCUUUGAUUUGGUUAUGUCUUUCUACUCUUGAGCUAAACUUUAAAUUUAAAAACAGCUCACCUCGGUAUAGUAAAGGCUCCUUCGUUAAGAAGCCUUGCAUCCCACAUAACAGUUGUAAAAUGAGGAUAUGCGUUGCACGAUUUGAGUGAUUCAGUGACGUCGCUCGAGAUUUCCUUUCAUCUGUUGCGCGCUUGCUUGGUGGUCUGCUUCUUGGUUCGGUAGCGUGGAUGGGCUAGUGAAAUUAACAAAUCCUAUAUAGUUUUCGUACAGAAUUAUCUUUAUUACACUUCGAUCACAGGAGUAUGUAGUGACAGCGCAUAAAAAACAACAUAUUUGACAAAGACUUUUUUAUUAUAAAUAAAACUUUCAUUUAACAGUUAAU
Long non-coding RNA from Zophobas morio, 706 nucleotides. RefSeq lists it as uncharacterized. NCBI's taxonomy places the organism in Eukaryota, Metazoa, Arthropoda, Insecta, Coleoptera, Tenebrionidae. The record is from RefSeq and is a predicted model, not a curated record. The transcript is spliced from 4 exons.